Molecule: ribosomal RNA, 485 nt
Filed under: uncultured bacterium
Lineage: Bacteria
Description: partial 16S ribosomal RNA
Rfam family: Bacterial small subunit ribosomal RNA
Source: RNAcentral
ACUCAAAGGAAUAGACGGGGGCCCGCACAAGCAGCGGAGCGUGUGGUUUAAUUCGAUGCUACGCGAAGAACCUUACCCGGGUUUGACAUUCAGGUGGUAGCGAAGCGAAAGCCGAGCGACCCUUCGGGGAGCCUGAACAGGUGCUGCAUGGCUGUCGUCAGCUCGUGUCGUGAGAUGUCCGGUUAAGUCCGGUAACGAGCGCAACCCUCGCCGUAUGUUACAGGUACCAUACGGGACUGCUGGUAUCAAGCCGGAGGAAGGUGGGGAUGACGUCAAGUCAGCAUGGCCUUGAUAUCCGGGGCUACACACACGCUACAAUGGCCGGUACAAUGGGUCGCAAAACCGCAAGGUGGAGCCAAUCCCCAAAGCCGGUCUCAGUUCAGAUUGCAGGCUGCAACCCGCCUGCAUGAAGUCGGAGUUGCUAGUAACCGCAGGACAGCACUACUGCGGUGAAUACGUUCCCGGGCCUUGUACACACCGCCCGU